GUAGCUAACGCGUUAAGUAUCCCGCCUGGGGAGUACGUUCGCAAGAAUGAAACUCAAAGGAAUUGACGGGGACCCGCACAAGCGGUGGAGUAUGUGGUUUAAUUCGAUGCAACGCGAAGAACCUUACCAGGGCUUGACAUACCGCGAAUCCUAGUGAAAGCCGGGAGUGCCUAAGGGAGCGCGGAUACAGGUGGUGCAUGACUGUCGUCAGCUCGUGUCGUGAGAUGUUGGGUUAAGUUCCGCAACGAGCGAAACCCUCGUCUUGAGUUGUCAGCAAGUAAAGUUGGACACUCUCAAGAGACUGCCGGUGAUAAAUCGGAGGAAGGUGGGGAUGACGUCAAGUCUUCAUGCCCCUUACGUCCUGGGCUACACACGUACUACAAUGCUACGGACAGAGGGCAGCAAGACUGCGAAGUCAAGCAAAUCCCAUAAACCGUAGCUCAGUUCAGAUCGCAGGCUGCAACUCGCCUGCGUGAAGGUGGAAUCCCUAGUAAUUCCAGAUCAGCAUUGCUGGAGUGAAUACGUUUCCGGGUCUUGUACACACCGCCCGUCACACCACGGAAUUUGGUUUUACCCGAAUUCGUUAUUCCCACCCAUUAAGGAGGGAACCUUGGUAGGCCGUACUGUGGAAGGGGGUGACCUUGUUCCAAGUUU
This 654-nucleotide ribosomal RNA is filed under the name uncultured bacterium. RNAcentral's name for it is "bacterial SSU rRNA". It matches the Rfam family "Bacterial small subunit ribosomal RNA", at positions 848 to 1498 of the family's 1533-position model. The record is from RNAcentral.